CGAAAGAUUGAUCCAGUNACUUAUUAGGAUGAUAUAUAAAAAUAUUUUAUUUUAUUUAUAAAUAUUAAAUAUUUAUAAUAAUAAUAAUAAUAAUAUAUAUAUAUAAAUUGAUUAAAAAUAAAAUCCAUAAAUAAUUAAAAUAAUGAUAUUAAUUACCAUAUAUAUUUUAUAUGGAUAUAUAUAUUAAUAAUAAUAUUAAUUUAUUAUUAUUAAUAAUAUAUUUUAAUAGUCCUGACUAAUAUUUGUGCCAGCAGUCGCGGUAACACAAAGAGGGCGAGCGUUAAUCAUAAUGGUUUAAAGGAUCCGUAGAAUGAAUUAUAUAUUAUAAUUUAGAGUUAAUAAAAUUAAUUAAAGAAUUAUAAUAGUAAAGAUGAAAUAAUAAUAAUAAUUAUAAGACUAAUAUAUGUGAAAAUAUUAAUUAAAUAUUAACUGACAUUGAGGGAUUAAAACUAGAGUAGCGAAACGGAUUCGAUACCCGUGUAGUUCUAGUAGUAAACUAUGAAUACAAUUAUUUAUAAUAUAUAUUAUAUAUAAAUAAUAAAUGAAAAUGAAAGUAUUCCACCUGAAGAGUACGUUAGCAAUAAUGAAACUCAAAACAAUAGACGGUUACAGACUUAANCAGUGGA
This 626-nucleotide ribosomal RNA is filed under the name Saccharomyces cerevisiae (brewer's yeast). RNAcentral describes it as "partial small subunit ribosomal RNA". The stretch from base 154 to 626 matches the Rfam family "Microsporidia small subunit ribosomal RNA", at positions 1 to 814 of the family's 1311-position model. The record is from RNAcentral. Lineage: Eukaryota; Fungi; Ascomycota; Saccharomycetes; Saccharomycetales; Saccharomycetaceae.